UCUAUCAGCAGGGAAGAAAGACUCGUAAGAGAGAUGACGGUACCUGACUAAGAAGCCCCGGCUAACUACGUGCCAGCAGCCGCGGUAAUACGUAGGGGGCAAGCGUUAUCCGGAUUUACUGGGUGUAAAGGGAGCGCAGACGGUCAAGCAAGUCUGAAGUGAAACCCCACGGCUCAACCGUGGGCUUGCUUUGGAAACUGUCAGGCUAGAGUACUGGAGAGGUAAGCGGAAUUCCUAGUGUAGCGGUGAAAUGCGUAGAUAUUAGGAGGAACUUCGGUGGCGAAGGCGGCUUACUGGACAGCAACUGACGUUGAGGCUCGAAGGCGUGGGGAGCAAACAGGAUUAGAUACCCUGGUAGUCCACGCGGUAAACGAUGAAUAC
RNAcentral lists this ribosomal RNA (381 nucleotides) under Butyrivibrio sp. RNAcentral describes it as "bacterial SSU rRNA". It matches the Rfam family "Bacterial small subunit ribosomal RNA", at positions 432 to 816 of the family's 1533-position model. The record is from RNAcentral. Lineage: Bacteria; Bacillati; Bacillota; Clostridia; Lachnospirales; Lachnospiraceae.